GGCAGCAGGCGCGCAAAUUACCCACUCCCAGCACGGGGAGGUAGUGACGAAAAAUAACGAUACGGGACUCAUCCGAGGCCCCGUAAUCGGAAUGAGUACAAUUUAAAACUUUUUCCGAGGAUCAAUUGGAGGGUAAGUCUGGUGCCAGCAGCCGCGGUAAUUCCAGCUCCAAUAGCGUAUAUUAAAGUUGUUGCGGUUAAAAAGCUCGUAGUCGAAUCUGUGUCCCGCGCCGCUGGUUCAUCGCUCGCGGUGUUCAACUGGCGUGUUUCGCGGGACGUCCUGCCGGUGGGCGCUCGUAUCGUUUCGGCGGUGCGUGGCCCAGCUCGUAGCCGUCUCGCGCGGUUGCGAAUCUCAUCGCGGUGCUCUUUAUUGAGUGUCGAGGUGGGCCGGCACGUUUACUUUGAACAAAUUAGAGUGCUUAAAGCAGGCCAAUUUUGCCUGAAUAUUGUGUGCAUGGAAUAAUGGAAUAGGACCUCGGUUCUAUUUUGUUGGUUUUCGGAACCCCGAGGUAAUGAUUAAUAGGAACGGAUGGGGGCAUUCGUAUUGCGACGUUAGAGGUGAAAUUCUUGGAUCGUCGCAAGACGGACAGAAGCGAAAGCAUUUGCCAAAAACGCUUUCAUUGAUCAAGAACGAAAGUUAGAGGUUCGAAGGCGAUCAGAUACCGCCCUAGUUCUAACCAUAAACGAUGCCAGCUAGCGAUCCGCCGACGUUCCUCCGAUGACUCGGCGGGCAGCUUCCGGGAAACCAAAGCUUUUGGGUUCCGGGGGAAGUAUGGUUGCAAAGCUGAAACUUAAAGGAAUUGACGGAAGGGCACCACCAGGAGUGGAGCCUGCGGCUUAAUUUGACUCAACACGGGACACCUCACCAGGCCCGGACACCGGAAGGAUUGACAGAUUGAUAGCUCUUUCUUGAUUCGGUGGGUGGUGGUGCAUGGCCGU
Molecule: ribosomal RNA, 938 nt
Filed under: Amischa nigrofusca
Lineage: Eukaryota; Metazoa; Arthropoda; Insecta; Coleoptera; Staphylinidae
Description: SSU rRNA
Rfam family: Eukaryotic small subunit ribosomal RNA
Source: RNAcentral